GACGAACGCUGGCGGCGUGCUUAACACAUGCAAGUCGAACGGGCUCUGUCUGGCUGUGUGCUGGGUGGGGUUAGUGGCGAACGGGUGAGUAAUACGUGAGUAACCUGCCCUCUUCUUUGGGAUAAGCCUUGGAAACGGGGUCUAAUACUGGAUAUUCCUGUCUGGUCGCAUGGCUGGGUGGGGAAAGUUUUUUCGGUGGGGGAUGGGCUCGCGGCCUAUCAGCUUGUUGGUGGGGUGAUGGCCUACCAAGGCGUCGACGGGUAGCCGGCCUGAGAGGGUGACCGGCCACACUGGGACUGAGAUACGGCCCAGACUCCUACGGGAGGCAGCAGUGGGGGAUAGUGCACAAUGGGCGCAAGCCUGAUGCAGCGACGCCGCGUGGGGGAUGACGGCUUUCGGGUUGUAAACCUCUUUCGUCGGGGGACAAGGCUCUGCUUGGUGGUGGGGUUGAGGGUACCCGGUGAAGAAGCGCCGGCUAACUACGUG
Molecule: ribosomal RNA, 486 nt
Filed under: uncultured bacterium
Lineage: Bacteria
Description: partial 16S ribosomal RNA
Rfam family: Bacterial small subunit ribosomal RNA
Source: RNAcentral